UCCAGUACUCCAAGAAGGUCACCGCCCAGAAGGACAUGAAGAUGCUGAAGAAGACGGUCCCUGGGUGAUCGAAGAGCAAAGAGACCAGCCAGGAAGACGAGUGUGCCAACGACUGCCGCUGGGAGCAGCCAGGCGGUGUAGAAUCCUGCCAGGGAAGAGGAGGAGAACCCAAGGGAUGUUGGUGAGCACCACCCAGAGGCUACAUGGAAGGCAAAACGAGGUCAAGCAAGGCGGCAGUGACUUGUCCCCCUUCAGCGCUAUGACUGAAGUUGCAAGGAGAAGCAGAAGGAGACCCCAUUCCUGCAGGCCCGGCUGG
Molecule: non-coding RNA, 316 nt
Organism: Pogona vitticeps (central bearded dragon)
Lineage: Eukaryota; Metazoa; Chordata; Lepidosauria; Squamata; Agamidae
Source: RefSeq, a predicted model, not a curated record